CUGUUUUCUCCGCCUCCCAACUUAUUUCUCCUCCAACCUCAACAACUCUAAUAAUGGUUAAACAUGUUUCACUACUUACUAGAGAUUUCUUCUGGGAUCCAUUUAAAAAUAAAUAGCAAAACUCAAUUGAACUACUAUUGCAUCAGGAAAUGAGAACACCCCACUUCAAAAUGUGAUUUACCAGACGGUCCAGACCAGUAAGAUUGUGAAUCCUACCAGCCACAUAAUGAACUCAUUACAAUCGCAAACAAGCAUAAGUAUAAGUAACCGUGUCCUCCAAUAAUCGGUUAAAGAAGUGCAGACGAACAAACUCCAGAAAGUGAAAGGGAAAGAACAUUCCAUGACC
Long non-coding RNA from Papaver somniferum (opium poppy), 346 nucleotides. RefSeq lists it as uncharacterized. The transcript is spliced from 3 exons. The record is from RefSeq and is a predicted model, not a curated record. NCBI's taxonomy places the organism in Eukaryota, Viridiplantae, Streptophyta, Magnoliopsida, Ranunculales, Papaveraceae.